Molecule: long non-coding RNA, 534 nt
Organism: Oxyura jamaicensis (ruddy duck)
Lineage: Eukaryota; Metazoa; Chordata; Aves; Anseriformes; Anatidae
Exons: 2
Source: RefSeq, a predicted model, not a curated record
CAUAUUUGAAUGGAUCACUCUGCUGGACACCCGUAUCUUUAAGCAAUGUAUCUUACAGCCACUGUAAAACAUCCAUAUUAAUCAAGCUCCUAAACUUCUUCCCCAGUUUCUUUAAGUGUAAAGUGUUUUGCUCCUGUGAACACAUAUAUUUGACUCACCCAGAUGAAGUGUAGAAUGACAAUACUUGUCGUGCUGUCUGUUUUGCUAGCAGUCCAGGUUAUAACUCACACUAUGUCUAUGACAACUUUUUCUAAACGGUGUUCCACGUUUUUCUCUUUCAGGGUGAUAGACUAGCAAGCAGCGGUGAUUUCCUGUGUUUUGGAAUUUUAACGUCAGCACCACUUGUUUUCAUAGACAGCUGUGUCUAAAGGAUUCUGGUUUCCGCCCACCUUCAAAGCGUGGAAAUUCAUCGGGAGUAGGAAGUAGACCCUUCCGGGCCCCUGAGCAGUAAGAGAUGCAGGGAACAAGAAUAAGAAGAGCUAUCGUAUUCAUGAAACUACUGCAAUUUGCCCAAGAAAGGUCUUUGGUUCCUUA